GGGGCCAUAGUUGAAUGGGACAACGCCGCAUUCGCAUUGCGGUGGUACGGGUUCAAUUCCCGUUGGCUCCA
This 71-nucleotide transfer RNA is filed under the name Pseudomonadota bacterium. RNAcentral's name for it is "tRNA-Ala". It matches the Rfam family "tRNA". Rfam says of the family: Transfer RNA (tRNA) molecules are approximately 80 nucleotides in length. Their secondary structure includes four short double-helical elements and three loops (D, anti-codon, and T loops). Lineage: Bacteria; Pseudomonadati; Pseudomonadota. RNAcentral also lists the same sequence under 1 other name. The record is from RNAcentral.